UACGUAGGGACCGAGCGUUGUCCGGAAUCAUUGGGCGUAAAGAGCGUGUAGGCGGCCAACUAAGUCCUGCGUGAAAUCUCGGGGCUCAACCCCGAGCGGUCGUGGGAAACUGGUUGGCUAGAGUGCGGGAGAGGAGAGUGGAAUUCCUGGUGUAGCGGUGAAAUGCGUAGAGAUCCGGAGGAACACCAGAGGCGAAGGCGGCCUACUGGGUCAGUACUGACGCUGAGCCGCGAAAGCCAGGGGAGCGAACGGG
RNAcentral lists this ribosomal RNA (253 nucleotides) under uncultured bacterium. RNAcentral describes it as "partial 16S ribosomal RNA". It matches the Rfam family "Bacterial small subunit ribosomal RNA", at positions 524 to 776 of the family's 1533-position model. The record is from RNAcentral.